This 428-nucleotide ribosomal RNA is filed under the name uncultured bacterium. Its description in RNAcentral is "bacterial SSU rRNA". It matches the Rfam family "Bacterial small subunit ribosomal RNA", at positions 355 to 776 of the family's 1533-position model. The record is from RNAcentral.
UGGGGAAUCUUCCGCAAUGGGCGAAAACCUGACGGAGCAACGCCGCGUGAUCGAAUGAAGGCCUUCGGGUUGUAAAGAUCUGUUGACAGGGACGAAUAAGCAAUGCGAAUAGUUUUGUGUAUGACGGUACCUGUUUAGAAAGCUCCGGCUAACUACGUGCCAGCAGCCGCGGUAAUACGUAGGGAGCAAGCGUUGUCCGGAAUUACUGGGCGUAGAGGGCGCGUAGGUGGGCGCUUAAGUCAGGUGUGAAAACUCCGGGCUCAACCUGGAGACUGCACUUGAAACUGGGUGUCUUGAGGGCAGGAGAGGAAAGUGGAAUUCCUAGUGUAGCGGUGAAAUGCGUAGAUAUUAGGAGGAACACCAGUGGCGAAGGCGACUUUCUGGACUGUACCUGACGCUGAGGCGCGAAAGCGUGGGUAGCGAACGGG